RNAcentral lists this long non-coding RNA (726 nucleotides) under Mytilus galloprovincialis (Mediterranean mussel). The record is from RNAcentral. Lineage: Eukaryota; Metazoa; Mollusca; Bivalvia; Mytilida; Mytilidae.
AAUAUAUAUGUAGGACUCUAAAGUGCGAUGGUACUCUAAAGUACAAUGGUCACGCUAAAGUGCGAUGGUCUACGCUAAAGUGCGAUGGUGUCAGACGCUAAAGUGCGAUGGUUGUUUGUUUUUUAUAUGCGAUCAGAUGACACGCUAAAGUGCGAUGGUAUGCCAUGCUAAAGUGCGAUGGUAUAUGACACGUUAAAGGACGUUGGUUUACACGCCAAAGUGCGAUGGUUUAACGGGAAUGGUGUUCAGGCAAUGUCUUUUGAUUUUUGCUGUGUUAAUAUUAGUUUUUGUAUAUUGUUUAUAAAUUAUGCCGUUGUUUUUCUCUUUUGAAUUGUUGUACACGAGUUUUUGUGUGGUUUAUAUAACUAGCUAUUCGACUAUAGCCGAUACUCAACGCCUUGGGUCAUAAGUUAUUAAGUGCGCACAUCAGCAACACGUACCAAUUGUUUUGCAAUGGUCGUUCUGAUAACCUGAAGUUAUAAAACUACUAUUUAUCUGAUGGGUUAGCCGCUUCCGUUUUUAGAUCGAGACUUGUGUCAUCGGCAAUCAUAUGAUUAUACUUCACAACAUAGAAGGAGUUUCUAAAUUAAAUUUGGACGAAUUGAAAUACUUUGACACUUGGUGUAUUUUGACUUUUUCUCUCUCUUUUACGGUUUGGACCUUCCCCUUACUGUCGCCAGUUUUCUAUGUUGAUGAGAAAACCUUUUAUCCACUAUCCUGACAGAA